UUUAUUUUGAAGGAUUCGAUGGUUUUAUUAGGAAUGUUAAUAGAUAUGGAUAUUUAAGAUUUUAUCUAAAUCCAAAUUGAUCAGAUUUAAUCGAUGCUAAAUAGGUAUGACUUUGGUCGCAGGUAUAAAAAUAAAAAUAAGAUUGAUUCGAGUUUGGGCAUGAUUUUUUCUUUUUUUUUUCAACACACGACCGAAAUCCAAAUUUAAAUUUUGUUAGCUUAAAUAGACCAACAUCCUGCUUUGUGGGACGAGGUCAGGUUAAGCCGAGCCAUGUUCGGAAUGAUGUGAAACUGAAUUGAAUCAAGUCAUAUUCGAAGUAAUAUGAGGCUGAUUGUGCCGAAUCACAAUCAAGACCUGUGAGCGUUGUAUCUGUACGCUUUAAAUGAAUUAAUUGUGUAUUUCUAACCGUUCGAGCUUUUGAAAUUAAUAGUGAGGGCCAACAAUCCGACAAAUCCAAACCCGAACCUGAUUUAUAUUAUGUAGUAUAUAAAAAAUUAAAUUUAUACUUUAAAAAUUUAAUAGUAUGGUCUGUUUUUAAAAUUUGGUAAAGAAAAAUGAUUGCUUUCGGAUUUGAGUU
RNAcentral lists this long non-coding RNA (577 nucleotides) under Ananas comosus (pineapple). Its description in RNAcentral is "long non-coding RNA (ACOM_LNC006020)". Lineage: Eukaryota; Viridiplantae; Streptophyta; Magnoliopsida; Poales; Bromeliaceae. The record is from RNAcentral.